UACGUAGGGGGCGAGCGUUGUCCGGAAUCAUUGGGCGUAAAGCGCGUGUAGGCGGCCCGGUAAGUCCGCUGUGAAAGUCCAGGGCUCAACCCUGGGAUGCCGGUGGAUACUGUCGGGCUCGAGUCCGGAAGAGGCGAGUGGAAUUCCUGGUGUAGCGGUGAAAUGCGCAGAUAUCAGGAGGAACACCAAUGGCGAAGGCAGCUCGCUGGGACGUGACUGACGCUCAUGCACGACAGCGUGGGGAUCAAACAGG
This 253-nucleotide ribosomal RNA is filed under the name uncultured bacterium. RNAcentral describes it as "partial 16S ribosomal RNA". It matches the Rfam family "Bacterial small subunit ribosomal RNA", at positions 524 to 776 of the family's 1533-position model. The record is from RNAcentral.